Dromaius novaehollandiae (emu) is the source of this 6244-nucleotide long non-coding RNA. RefSeq lists it as uncharacterized. The record is from RefSeq and is a predicted model, not a curated record. The transcript is spliced from 3 exons. NCBI's taxonomy places the organism in Eukaryota, Metazoa, Chordata, Aves, Casuariiformes, Dromaiidae.
AGCUCUGACAGAAGAACCUUCUACUUCUGCUGGUUAAUGACACUAGAAGUGAAGCUCAGGUAUUAAUUCAUUAUUGCUCACACCUUGUUGUCAGUGCAUGAUAGGGAACUGUUACAGGUGCAGUUACUAGAUGUGUUGUCUUUUAACAUCAGGAAAUUGCACACAAAAUGGCAGGGUUAGAAGAACAUCGGUCAAAAGCUGAAGUCGGAUGUUGUUAAACCAUAUGCUCCAUCCUGCACCAGUAAUACAAUCCCACAACCCCAGGUGCUAUGCACUCUCUGUCCUAUCAAACCAGAGCUAUAUAAAGAUUUCAACUUAAAUUUCAGAAAGUGUUUGGACUGGAUCAGCAAGGUGCUCCUGGCUGCAGAGGAUUCAGGGCAGCUCCACCUCAUCAGGCUAAAGCAUUGAAAGGAGUCUGAGCUACCCACAAAGGAAUAAAAGAGACCAGGAUAGAUACCCAUUUGCAUUCAACCCUCGGUCCUCGAGAGAGUCGGAAAUGCCGUCAGAUCUGAUGCGUGCUGCAGCAAAUAAUCACCCUGUCCAGAUCAUCUCCUUGUGCCAUCUAAUCUCUGAGCAGUGACACAGGCCUGGGGUCCAGCGAGAGUCCCCACGCUGGUGCCAGGAGUUCGGGGGGCUCCUCGGCCGCGCGCCUCUUCGGAGAGCUCGGCUGCGUCGUCUCACCCCUCUGUCGCUCGCUUGUCUCACCACCCAUCCGCGGGAGGGACGACGCCUUCCAGCGAGGUGAGGAGAAUUCAGUAGUCGAUGCUGUGCUGUGCUUUGAGGACAUCAAUGUGGAGGUAAAAAGGGGGUGGCAGCAGAGGUGGUGCUUGAAAUGGAAAAUUUCCCAUUCGCAUAACUAUUUUUUUCUCCGCUUUUAAAAAAAGUACAUUCAAAUGGCUCAUCAAAGGUAUCAGUGUUGCAACACCCGGGAAAGAGUAGCUGCAAUGGGAAGGUGAGAGCCAGAAACCUCCUCCUGGAGGAGCAGAUUUGCAGUGAGAAGGACAGAAAUGCAAAUCUGAAAUCAAUCCAUCUCUCCCUCUCCCUUGUACACUUUGGCCAUUGCUAACAGUUUAAAGCGAAGUCAGUCACUGAGGACAAGAAGAGAGGCUUGCAAAUCCAUUUACUACUUUCUGCACUAAAGGAGAAGUAGCGAAUUUAUUGUGGAAAUGCAGUAAGCGCACAGACGAGGUGUUCCACAUUAGCAGUAGAGGAUAGCUCAAAAACAUCAGAGCAAACCUUUGAAUAAAGAGCGAGUACGCAGACCUCGGGAGCCGGAGGUAUCAAAGCGCUCCGUACAUCAAUCCUCCCUCCGCUGCCCGGCUCUGCGUUUUCCUCAAAGGCAUGGAGCUGUCUCCACCACUUCUCCUUCUGAGCCCCAUUUUGUUUGCAGCCCCAUCGUGCUGGCAGCAAACCCCCACUGUUGUCCCCCCCGCACCGAAACCCUCUCUGGCACAGUGGGGAUGGGGAGCUGUGUCCGAACAGGGCUCCUUCCCAGCGUGGAAUUUCAGAGUCAACAGGUCUUUACGUACGCUUCUAUUACGAGCAACCAAGUAAUGUUGACAAUCAGAAAUACAGAAAAGGGCUGACUUUGCGUGUGCGCAGGCUGGUCGCGGGCAGUGAAGCCUCUUUACAGAAGUCCAAGGAUUUAGAGGAAAGCAGAAAUAUUCCUGCUUCUGACACUCACUAGAUUACGGUUGUGGCUCGCAUGAGGCGCCUUGACUGUGCACGCGUGUGCAUCUGCAGGACAUGAGGUGCAAAACUCACUUUGCUAUUGGGAAGAAGAGGUGUCAUAUUUUGAAUCUUUUUUUUCCUCUUUUUGCAUGUGCAUGGCUAUAGAGAGAGAGAUCUAAACGCACCUGUGUGUUUGUGCAUGCGUAUGUACACAUAUUCAGUUAUUUCUUGAUGUCCAGUGGCUGCUGCUUCUCACAUCUAAGGCUGCAAUACUUGAAAGUAAAAUGGCAGCAUAAUACUGACGUGAAGGAAUAAUAAGCUAUGGCAUUUAAGAUCCUUUCUGUAAUAUUUUGUUUGACAGGACAGCUUUCAGUUUAUGAUAUUAUUUUUAUCCAAAAUCUGUUUUGCGUUCAAAGUAAGUUUAUUAUACUUUAUCUAUCAGAGUUGGUAAAAACAGCAAAUCACAGAAUGAAUUACCUUGCAACACCCCAAGGUAUAAAUAGGAUUCAGAAAUAAGCAUCAAGGGGUGAUGCAAUUAAUCCCGCUCACGAGGAAAGGCUGUCAUUAGUCAUUUGCUGCUUCAGCACUGGUGACUCUCAAGGUGUACAAAUCUCCCGUUAGAUACGUCUCGUGUUCUGCAGAUGGCCAUUUUGUCUUCUCGCUGCAUGCACUGGAACAUGCCCAAGUACACAGAAAUGAGAGGAGUGAUUGUUAGGGCUGAAUUUUUUUGUUCAAUUUCAAUGGGAUUUUUUUCCUUUGCGUGGCGCACAUCCUGGGCUUUGAUAAAUGAGUCUCACCAGACACUGUGGUAAGCCAGCCUCUGCUAAUAUUCAUUAUGCAGAACCCGCCAGGAAAUGGUCUGAGUCGGGGAAAUGGAAAACCUUUAAAGGGAAAAAAAGAAACAUUUUUCUUCCAGGGAAAUUACUUUAUAAUACUUAACAUUUCUGGGAUGUUUUGCAAUAUUUAAAAACAGGAAUUUCAGCGUUGUAUGUGCUAGUCAAAACUUUGUAGCAAAGCUCUAAUGAUUGCAUCAUGUGCAAAGAAACAGACAAGCCCCUUCUUUAGAUCACAGAAAAGGUGUUCAAAAGUGACUUAGCAGCCUGAUGUUACAGGCUCUGAAAGGGGCCACCAAGCCGUAAGCUGGGUGUGGACAUGCCGCGUGCCACUGACACCACAGCCGCUGCAGUGGGCAAGUUUUUGUCCCGUGGGAAAUGACUGGGAGCCUAUGCCUCUUCUAGUGGCUCUGCGGGACCCCAAGAGCAUCCGCACCGCAGUUGCCGUGGGGUAGACGACAGCUUGUUGCUCUCGCCCAUCCUGCCGGUAAUUUGUUUCUCGGGCUUUUCUUUUCUUUUUGCAUCCUUUAACUUAGACACCUAUGCACAUAAAUCUCUCCACAAAUUAAGAAUUAAGCUGCUCAGAAAGGAGUUAUGCAACAUACUGGCUUCAGCUUAAAGUGCUCCCGUCUUCUCCCUUGACCCUGGUCAUUAAUUCUUGGUGCUUCACUGCCAGUUUGACAACCUCUCUGUUUUACCAGUGACUCAAACUAUUAACUAGAUUGCUGAAAUUAUUUGAAUUAAAAUCCCCUUUGGGUGGUUAUUUUAAAUCCAGUCAGGUAAGCGCCCCGUGAACAGUGCUACCAGCACAGCCAGGAGCACAGCACGCGUGUGCGGAGGGCAGGACCUCCGUACGCCGGUGUCACCGCUGCAGACCCUGUGGCGUGUUUUUAGGCCUCGUCCUCGCCAUUGCAGUGCUAUUUGUCACUGCCACGCAACCAAACCCCUGGUUGAGUGCUAGGGGCUAUGUAUCAGCAAAACGCAGUGCCAUUUACCGUGGGGGACCGCUGCAGGGGUAGUUACACUGGCAGGAAAGCAGUGCUUUUGUAAAACUCAGGUUAACGAAGCACUUGGGCACAGGCUUAAAACUCAGCGACUUCAGUAGGACACCAGCUGGUGUUUAAAGUGCUUUGCUGAAUUGAGGCACAAAAAAUUAAUGCUGAACUGCUGAAGAUUCACAUGAAAUUCAUACCCCUGCCCCCAGCAUGCCUCUUUCAAACGCAUCUGUGGCAUGACGGCUGUCUUUGGCUUUUGUAGUUCUUUGCAUGGCUUUUAACCAAUUGCACGUACUUUGUAUCCUCAUCACAAGCCGCGGGCAGAAAGAGAGGUUCCUGUGUGCACAUCACAGGCCGGGAGAGCAUCCCCGUGUUCAGAAUAGGAGACGGGUUUAAUUUCUGCGUUCUGUAGGAGCGGCACAUUUCCCGGUGAUUUUGCCACCUCUGUGGCAAGCUGCAUGCUUUCUUCAUGAGCUCUCCCUGGAGUGCCCAGAACUGGCGUGCAAGUCUCAACGCCAGAAGAUGUUGACCGUGGAAAUCUUAAAAAUAUUAUAAACAGAAAAAAAUCAUUGUUACUGCACACAAGCGUAAUGAAAAUUAAUACGCAUACCUAACUGAUAUCCGUGGGCCUGAAGAUGCUUUUAAGAACUUUCACUUUGACCUUGUAACGCUCACAUGCCUGUAUUUAGGCACGCACAGCGGCCUCUUAAGCUCCUUUGGCGAUGGGGCUGGCCGUGCAGCCGGGUGGGCUGGAGGGGAGGGCUCGCCGCAGCAGACCCAGGCUAGCCCGGCUGGAGCGGAGGGGCAGCCGCAGACCUGCGUGGAUUCUGCUUCAGCGGCAACGGAGGUUUCUGCUGGCUCUUUCCUUGCUUUUGAUAUCAGAUGUUCCGGUCUCCCCUUCCGCUGGGAAGUUCCUAAUAGGGCGCGCAGAACUGGUAGGGUUAUUACAUUAGCAAAGGCAGGCAAGUGGAGCUUAGUAUUAGCAUAUAGUUUAAGUGGUUUGUUUACGACUCUUUAUUUUUCUAACGCACAAAUAUUUGGGAAACACUUCGUCACUUGUUACAGUAGUAAGUGGUUCAACAAAGAACAAGAAAGACAGAUCCCAAUUCAGUAGUUCAUCCAUAUUCAAUGUUUUUCUUCUGAAUCAAGGCUAUAGUUUCUGCCCCAAAGACCUUGUACUCAGGGGACAGAAGGCAUAACUGGCACAGGCUGCACACAUAUCAUUCCCUACCAGGAACAACUGCAAAAACCACCAACUGCAAUCCAUUUCUACAAUCCGGGUUGCAUCAGAUUAAUGAAUAAGAUGGUUCUUUUUAACAGAUUUUGUUGAGCCAUUGUAAAUUUGUGUGUACUUGAAUCUGUGUGAAUAUGCUCAAACUGAUUUAAAUCUCAUUUACAUUACUUUUGCUUUCCUUGCAACCCACACAGCCUGUUUUAAAUAGAGAUAACUGUGACUAGAACGGGUUUGCAUCCAUCCAGUGUGUUGUCCUUCGAGUGCUAUGACACUUCCAAAAAGUCCUCUAGUAAUACGUGUGACAAUGAGAUUUGAAAUUCCUACAUUUCCAGGAUUCCUACAGUAAACAAAAGAAAACAUAAAAAAAUGCCCACAGCAAACCAUUUUCAUUUAAAGGGCAGAUUUUCAGAUAUUAGGAAGGGAAAGCAAGAAUAUAAUCCUUUUUUUGUGAGUGGAGUUAGGUCAUCUGUAAAAGCCUCUCAGAAUAUUAUCUUCCAAGCUAAUCGCUGUAUUGACAUUUGCCUGUUUCAUUCGAGCUCAGUUUUUACUGCAUUGCUGAGGUUGGACCUGACUCAUCUGUCAUGGUCAAGGACUAGUUUGUAAUUUCAUGACUGUAGAAUAAAAAUUCUCUCUCUCUCUCUCUCUUUUCGUUUAACUGGUUGGGUUGAAAUGGUGUUUGCAGAAUUCCCAGUAUUGGUGGGUUUUGACUUGACAGUUCCUAGCUAUGUUUUUUCUCAUAGAUUUUUAUUUUAUUCAUUUGGCAAAAUGACGGUAAUUUGAAAAAAAGAGCCAUGUUAAAAGACUUUUGAAAAGAGAUAAUUUUACAAAGUUACAUACACACAUUUGCUGACAUAUGUGGCCUAUAAUAGAUGCAAGGGCUAACAAAGGGAGAAGAAAUGUUAUCUAAAACUGCAAAGAAAAAACAAUUCAGGCCAGAACUAAGUCAAUUAUCCAUGUAAUAAACCUCUGUGGCUGCUGACUGAGCAGAUAAGUUUAUGGUCUCUACAUACGCUGACAGUAAACUUUGCGGCAAAAGGGAAGUGUCAGAAAGUUUUAUGCACAUGCAGGAAACAGAUCAGCAUCUGAGAAGAGACAAAAGUUGUUUGCAGAAUCCUUCUUUACCCAGGGUAAGAAUUCUUCUGGCAUCACACUAAUAAAUCCAGAAAUGCUUUGCAUCAUUAUUAUGUAAAUGUAUUUAUUCCCUUCCAGAGUGUUUCUAAGGUUUGCUGGAUGCACUACAGACACCUUUUUACACCCACAUGAAUGUUAUCUGGAUUUGGCAGCGGAGUUGUGAUGGAACACUUUAACUCUAUUCACACAGUGGUGACCUAUUUUGUCUGAAAGUGAUUUCCCUUGUGCAUCACUGUCUAUUUUCUGUCCAGUUGCUAAGUGGUAUUUUGCCACUUUUUUCUUUUUUUAAGGAAGAUGUUUGUUUAGGAUUGUGGAAGGGUAACAGACAAAACACAGUAUGAUUUUUUUCCAUAACAUGUGAAUAAAAAUACUGAAACAUU